Molecule: ribosomal RNA, 254 nt
Filed under: uncultured bacterium
Lineage: Bacteria
Description: partial 16S ribosomal RNA
Rfam family: Bacterial small subunit ribosomal RNA
Source: RNAcentral
UACGUAGGGAGCGAGCGUUGUCCGGAUUUAUUGGGCGUAAAGAGCUCGUAGGCGGUUUGGUAAGUCGGGUGUGAAACCUCCAGGCUCAACCUGGAGCCGCCACUCGAUACUGCCAUGACUUGAGUCUGGUAGGGGACCACGGAAUUCCGGGUGUAGCGGUGGAAUGCGUAGAGAUCCGGAAGAACACCGGUGGCGAAGGCGGUUAGCUGGGCAGUUGCUGACACUGAGGCGCGACAGCGUGGGGAGCAAACAGG